This 243-nucleotide ribosomal RNA is filed under the name uncultured bacterium. RNAcentral describes it as "partial 16S ribosomal RNA". It matches the Rfam family "Bacterial small subunit ribosomal RNA", at positions 528 to 770 of the family's 1533-position model. The record is from RNAcentral.
UAGGGGGCAAGCGUUAUCCGGAUUUACUGGGUGUAAAGGGAGCGUAGACGGCGGUACAAGUCUGACGUGAAAGGCAUGGGCUCAACCUGUGGACUGCUUUGGAAACUGUAGUGCUAGAGUGUCGGAGAGGCAAGUGGAAUUCCUAGUGUAGCGGUGAAAUGCGUAGAUAUUAGGAGGAACACCAGUGGCGAAGGCGGCUUGCUGGACGAUGACUGACGUUGAGGCGCGAAAGCGUGGGGAGCA